This 402-nucleotide ribosomal RNA is filed under the name uncultured bacterium. RNAcentral's name for it is "bacterial SSU rRNA". It matches the Rfam family "Bacterial small subunit ribosomal RNA", at positions 355 to 774 of the family's 1533-position model. The record is from RNAcentral.
UGGGGAAUCUUGCACAAUGGGGGCAACCCUGAUGCAGCGACGCCGCGUGAGCGAUGAAGCCCUUCGGGGCGUAAAGCUCUUUCGACCGGAACGAUAAUGACGGUACCGGGAGAAGAAGCUGCGGCUAACUACGUGCCAGCAGCCGCGGUAAUACGUAGGCAGCAAGCGUUGUUCGGAGUUACUGGGCGUAAAGAGUGCGUAGGCGGUUUUCUAAGUUCGGUGUGAAAUCUCCCGGCUUAACUGGGAGGGUGCGCCGAAGACUGGGAAGCUGGAGUGUGGGAAAGGCAGGCGGAAUUCCUGGUGUAGCGGUGAAAUGCGUAGAUAUCAGGAGGAACACCGGCGGUGUAGACGGCUUGCCAGACCAUAACUGACGCCGAGGCACGAAAGCGUGGGGAGCAAACA